GAGGGCGUAGCUCAGUCUGGCUAGAGCGCCCCGGUUUUACCGGGGAGGUCGUAGGUUCAAUUCCUGCCGCCUUCA
Molecule: transfer RNA, 75 nt
Filed under: Candidatus Peribacteraceae bacterium
Lineage: Bacteria; Candidatus Peregrinibacteriota; Candidatus Peribacteria; Candidatus Peribacterales
Description: tRNA-Lys
Rfam family: tRNA
About the family: Transfer RNA (tRNA) molecules are approximately 80 nucleotides in length. Their secondary structure includes four short double-helical elements and three loops (D, anti-codon, and T loops). Further hydrogen bonds mediate the characteristic L-shaped molecular structure. tRNAs have two regions of fundamental functional importance: the anti-codon, which is responsible for specific mRNA codon recognition, and the 3' end, to which the tRNAs corresponding amino acid is attached (by aminoacyl-tRNA synthetases). tRNAs cope with the degeneracy of the genetic code in two manners: having more than one tRNA (with a specific anti-codon) for a particular amino acid; and 'wobble' base-pairing, i.e. permitting non-standard base-pairing at the 3rd anti-codon position.
Source: RNAcentral